Molecule: ribosomal RNA, 164 nt
Filed under: uncultured bacterium
Lineage: Bacteria
Description: partial 16S rRNA
Rfam family: Bacterial small subunit ribosomal RNA
Source: RNAcentral
UAGGGAAUCUUCCACAAUGGGCGAAAGCCUGAUGGAGCAACGCCGCGUGUGUGAUGAAGGGUUCCGGCUCGUAAAACACUGUUGUAAGAGAAGAAUGACAUUGAGAGUAACUGUUCAAUGUGUGACGGUAUCUUACCAGAAAGGAACGGCUAAAUACGUGCCAA